GCAGACUCACUCUGUACCUGACUGCAGCCUCCAGUUUUGGUGCUUUUUAAGUCUGCUAAAUAAAACUCCAAGAUCAACAUUGAGGCUUUCAUACUUUUGAAGAAAUGCUACUUGUAGAUCAUGGGAUACUUAU
This 133-nucleotide small nucleolar RNA is filed under the name Xenopus laevis (African clawed frog). Its description in RNAcentral is "Small nucleolar RNA SNORA77". It matches the Rfam family "Small nucleolar RNA SNORA77". From Rfam's summary of the family: ACA63 (SNORA77) is a member of the H/ACA class of snoRNAs that guide the sites of modification of uridines to pseudouridines. This snoRNA was identified by computational screening and its expression in mouse experimentally verified by Northern blot and primer extension analysis. ACA63 is proposed to guide the pseudouridylation of 18S rRNA U814. Lineage: Eukaryota; Metazoa; Chordata; Amphibia; Anura; Pipidae. The record is from Rfam by way of RNAcentral.